This 20-nucleotide small nuclear RNA is filed under the name Arabidopsis thaliana (thale cress). RNAcentral's name for it is "snRNA_17631". Lineage: Eukaryota; Viridiplantae; Streptophyta; Magnoliopsida; Brassicales; Brassicaceae. The record is from RNAcentral.
UCGAUAAUAUUAUACAAACU